Molecule: ribosomal RNA, 400 nt
Filed under: uncultured bacterium
Lineage: Bacteria
Description: partial 16S ribosomal RNA
Rfam family: Bacterial small subunit ribosomal RNA
Source: RNAcentral
AAUUUUGGACAAUGGGGGAAACCCUGAUCCAGCCAUCCCUCGUGUAUGACGAAGUCCUUCGGGUCGUAAAGCGAUUUUCGGGGAGAUGAGUACGGUAAGUAUCUCCGGAGGAAGGAUCGGCGAACUAAGUGCCAGCAGCCGCGGUAAAACGUAGGAUCCGAGCGUUAUCCGAAUUCACUGGGAGUAAAGCGCAUGCAGGCGGCCGCACAAGUUGGAUGUGAAAUCUCCCGGCUCAACUGAGAGGGGACGUUCAAAACUGUGCGGCUCGAGGGCGGUAGAGGAAGGUAGAAUUCCCGGUGUAGUGGUGAAAUGCGUAGAUAUCGGGAGGAAUACCCGUGGCGAAGGCGACCUUCUGGACCGUUUCUGACGCUCAGAUGCGAAAGCUAGGGGAGCAAACAGG